GAAACACGGACCAAGGAGUCUGACA
Molecule: non-coding RNA, 25 nt
Filed under: Arabidopsis thaliana (thale cress)
Lineage: Eukaryota; Viridiplantae; Streptophyta; Magnoliopsida; Brassicales; Brassicaceae
Also listed under: 1 other name
Source: RNAcentral